Diorhabda carinulata is the source of this 519-nucleotide long non-coding RNA. RefSeq lists it as uncharacterized. The record is from RefSeq and is a predicted model, not a curated record. NCBI's taxonomy places the organism in Eukaryota, Metazoa, Arthropoda, Insecta, Coleoptera, Chrysomelidae. The transcript has 2 exons.
UUGACAUUAGUGUUGUAAUAUCUCAAAACUCAAGCAGCAACCUUCGUCCAAGAAAAAAUAGUGACAAAGACACGAUCCUUAGAUAAGGAAUGCUGCCUGACAUUAUUUAAGGAAUAUCAAACGAACAUGGAAAUUCUCCUCAACUAGAACAAAAUUACUUAAUAGCCUGAGAUGUGAGGAACAUUCAAGUUCAUAUUACUAGUUUAAUAGAUUUUGUGGAAAGGAAAAUAUAUACAGCAUUAUACAUUGUAUAAUAUUUAAUCAACUCGAAGUCAUCAUUUAGGAGAUUACGAAAUUGGAACAAUUUAUUUUAAUAUUUACAGACCAUAUCAUGUGGAUAAUGACAAAGAUUAAUCUAGAGAAGACGAAAGACGUAGCCAAUCAACAAAGAUAAUACCACAAUUGUAUUUAAUCAUCUUUCGAAAUGACUCAACAUUUGCCAAGGUUAUUCAACGAUGACUGCAUUUUUGUAACAAACUUUGUAUGCUAUAAUUGAAUAAAAACAGGCCAAGCACCUUC